This 253-nucleotide ribosomal RNA is filed under the name uncultured bacterium. Its description in RNAcentral is "partial 16S ribosomal RNA". It matches the Rfam family "Bacterial small subunit ribosomal RNA", at positions 524 to 776 of the family's 1533-position model. The record is from RNAcentral.
UACGGGGGGGGCAAGCGUUGUUCGGAAUUACUGGGCGUAAAGGGCUCGUAGGUGGCCAACUAAGUCAGACGUGAAAUCCCCAGGCUUAACCUGGGAACUGCGUCUGAUACUGGAUGGCUUGAAUUCGGGAGAGGGAUGCAGAAUUCCAGGUGUAGCGGUGAAAUGCGUAAAUAUCUGGAGGAAUACCGGUGGCGAAGGCGGCAUCCUGGACCGAGAUUGACACUGAUGAGCGAAAGCCAGGGGAGCAAACGGG